RNAcentral lists this ribosomal RNA (497 nucleotides) under uncultured bacterium. Its description in RNAcentral is "partial 16S ribosomal RNA". It matches the Rfam family "Bacterial small subunit ribosomal RNA", at positions 28 to 507 of the family's 1533-position model. The record is from RNAcentral.
GAUGAACGCUGGCGGCGUGCCUAAUACAUGCAAGUCGAGCGAACAGACGAGGAGCUUGCUCCUCUGACGUUAGCGGCGGACGGGUGAGUAACACGUGGAUAACCUACCUAUAAGACUGGGAUAACUUCGGGAAACCGGAGCUAAUCCCGGAUAAUAUAUUGAACCGCAUGGUUCAAUAGUGAAAGACGGUUUUGCUGUCACUUAUAGAUGGAUCCGCGCCGCAUUAGCUAGUUGGUAAGGUAACGGCUUACCAAGGCAACGAUGCGUAGCCGACCUGAGAGGGUGAUCGGCCACACUGGAACUGAGACACGGUCCAGACUCCUACGGGAGGCAGCAGUAGGGAAUCUUCCGCAAUGGGCGAAAGCUUGACGGAGCAACGCCGCGUGAGUGAUGAAGGUCUUCGGAUCGUAAAACUCUGUUAUUAGGGAAGAACAAAUGUGUAAGUAACUAUGCACGUCUUGACGGUACCUAAUCAGAAAGCCACGGCUAACUACGUG